This is a long non-coding RNA of Cynara cardunculus var. scolymus (artichoke), 326 nucleotides long. RefSeq lists it as uncharacterized. The transcript is spliced from 2 exons. The record is from RefSeq and is a predicted model, not a curated record. NCBI's taxonomy places the organism in Eukaryota, Viridiplantae, Streptophyta, Magnoliopsida, Asterales, Asteraceae.
UUAGAAGAUGAAGUUCAAUGGUCUUGCUUUGUUCUUGGCUCUUGUAUUUGCAUUUGUUCUCAUUUCCUCUUCCCAAUCCCAACCUUCUAAACCAAAAGAAGGAGAAGGCAAAGUUGAAUGGGGUGGUUGUUGGAAAUGUUGGAAAAAACUAUGAUGGUCAUCUCCUUACAUACCAUAUGAUUCAAUUGAUUUAUAUACAUAGCUAUGUUAGCAUCAAUAAAUCAUGAAAUACUGGUUAUUAUUGUUACUGUAUGUAAUCCAUUAUAAAUUAUGUAAUCAUCAUAUCGAUCGAUAUCGUUCAGGGAAUUUGAAGCACGAUUUCAUAC